Molecule: long non-coding RNA, 385 nt
Filed under: Setaria viridis
Lineage: Eukaryota; Viridiplantae; Streptophyta; Magnoliopsida; Poales; Poaceae
Description: long non-coding RNA (SVIR_LNC000360)
Source: RNAcentral
UUGGGUCUUAGUUGUCCGUUGCUUUUUAUUUCAAUGGUAUGGGUGUUCACUCGUACAGGAUAAGUAACUAAUUGGACGUACAAAGAUAUUUACUAAAACUUAAAAGGAACCAAACCACAGACGCAUAAUCCAGAAUUAAACAUGAAUAAUUCCAAACUUCCAGUCCCCGAUCGCCUUGCCCCCACCGUGCCCCGGCCGCUUUCAUCUCGUUCAUCAUGAUCAAAACGAUUAGAGAGAGCCUUAAAUGAAGCAGCGAAUAGAUACAUGGGGUUAUGUGCAUAAAUUGACUAUAAUCGGUGCAAUAUUUACUCUUAACAUAAUUUAGAGUUGCAACAGCAAAUUGAAAGAGUUUCUUCACCCAACCCCUCAUUGAUUUAAAUUCCCC